Molecule: ribosomal RNA, 276 nt
Filed under: uncultured Caldisericum sp.
Lineage: Bacteria; Pseudomonadati; Caldisericota; Caldisericia; Caldisericales; Caldisericaceae
Description: partial 16S ribosomal RNA
Rfam family: Bacterial small subunit ribosomal RNA
Source: RNAcentral
CUAAUAUGCGAAAGCAUAUGCACUCUAAGGGGACCGCCAGCGGAAAGCUAGGAGGAAGGUGGGAUGACGUCAAAUCCUCAUGGCCUUUACUGUCCAGGGCGUACACACAUGCGACAAUGGUCGAGACAACGCGUUGCAAACCAGUAAUGGUAAGCUAAUCGACAUAAAUCGACCUCAGUACGGAUUGAGGGUUGCAAUUCACCCUCAUGAAGCUGGAGUUGCUAGUAACCGCAGGUCAGCUAUACUGCGGUGGAAUAACGUUCCCCGGGUUCCGUU